This 274-nucleotide ribosomal RNA is filed under the name uncultured bacterium. RNAcentral's name for it is "partial 16S ribosomal RNA". It matches the Rfam family "Bacterial small subunit ribosomal RNA", at positions 523 to 796 of the family's 1533-position model. The record is from RNAcentral.
AUACGAAAGGUGCAAGCGUUGUUCGGAUUUACUGGGCGUAAAGAGAGUGUAGGUGGUUUAUUAAGUCGGAUGUGAAAUCCCGGGGCUCAACCUCGGAACUGCAUUCGAUACUGAUAGGCUAGAGUUUGGGAGGGGUAAGCGGAAUUCCGUGUGUAGCAGUGAAAUGCGUAGAUAUACGGAGGAACACCUGAGGCGAAGGCGGCUUACUGGACCACUACUGACACUGAGACUCGAAAGCGUGGGUAGCAAACAGGAUUAGAUACCCCAGUAGUCC